Molecule: ribosomal RNA, 218 nt
Filed under: uncultured Anoxybacillus sp.
Lineage: Bacteria; Bacillati; Bacillota; Bacilli; Caryophanales; Anoxybacillaceae
Description: partial 16S ribosomal RNA
Rfam family: Bacterial small subunit ribosomal RNA
Source: RNAcentral
CGGAGGAAGGUGGGGAGUGACGUCAAAUCAUCAUGCCCCUUAUGACCUGGGCUACACACGUGCUACAAUGGGCGGUACAAAGGGUCGCGAACCGCGAGGGGAGCCAAUCCCAAAAAGCCGCUCUCAGUUCGGAUUGCAGGCUGCAACUCGCCUGCAUGAAGCCGGAAUCGCUAGUAAUCGCGGAUCAGCAUGCCGCGGUGAAUACGUUCCCGGGCCUU